AUUCUCCUUUGGUUCGUAAGUGUGCUGACUGCUGUUCACACCACUAUGUGACAUUUACUUCCCUUACUUCUUGAUAUACUGUUAGUACCUUACCCAUCUGACA
This is a small nucleolar RNA of Nannospalax galili (Upper Galilee mountains blind mole rat), 103 nucleotides long. RefSeq annotates it as small nucleolar RNA U13. The transcript has a single exon. The record is from RefSeq and is a predicted model, not a curated record. NCBI's taxonomy places the organism in Eukaryota, Metazoa, Chordata, Mammalia, Rodentia, Spalacidae.